AUGCGGGGACUCGCCGACGAGCUCGCCGCGGCUGGCAAGCCGUUGAAGGAUGAUGAACUCAUCUCGUACAUCCUCAACGCACUCGACAUGGAGUAUCAGCCGCUGGUUUCCGCCCUCGACGCCAGAACCACUCCGGUCACCCUCGACGAAUUGUUCGGACAGAUGAGCAAUUUUGAUCAGAGGAUGGCUCUUUUCCAAGGCGCGGGAGGUGGCUUCAAGUCAUCUGCCAAUGUUGCCACCCGCGGCCGUGGCGGGGGCUCUCGUUACCGCGGUCCACCGCGGAACGGAAAGGGCAGGAGCGCCCACAACAGCAACAGCAGCGGCGCUACCAACACGCGCGGCGGCCGGCCUCCCUCCUCCAACAACAAAGGCCGCCGCAACAGCAGCUCCAACAACAGAUCACGCCCCGACAUCAGGUGCCAAAUCUGUGGCAAGCCGGGUCACUCGGCAAAGGACUGCUGGUAUCAUUUUGAGGAGGAUGAAGAUGACUCAUCUCAGGAUGAGAAGGUGGCCGGAGCUGCUGAUGGCUCUUACGGCGUCGACACAAAUUGGUACGUCGACAGCGGCGCCACAAACCACAUCACCGGUGAGCUGGAGAAGGUGACCAUGCGUGAGAAGUACCGUGGCAAAGAUCACAUCCACACUGCAAGUGGAGAAGGCAACGAAGAAGGUGCUUUAUCGAGGUAG
This 687-nucleotide ribosomal RNA is filed under the name Triticum aestivum (bread wheat). Its description in RNAcentral is "partial small subunit ribosomal RNA". Lineage: Eukaryota; Viridiplantae; Streptophyta; Magnoliopsida; Poales; Poaceae. The record is from RNAcentral.